Erpetoichthys calabaricus (reedfish) is the source of this 1531-nucleotide long non-coding RNA. RefSeq lists it as uncharacterized. The record is from RefSeq and is a predicted model, not a curated record. The transcript is spliced from 2 exons. NCBI's taxonomy places the organism in Eukaryota, Metazoa, Chordata, Cladistia, Polypteriformes, Polypteridae.
GUGGACUCUUUGGGACUAAAAUGUGUUUCUUAGCCGGUAGUCCCCACUUUAAUGGUGCAAAUAUUUGCUAGAACACUAUUUGAAUAUGUGAUAUUAUUGGUAAGCUGAUCUCGCUAUUUUAUGUCAAAGAUAUUCAACUUGCUUAAGCAGCAGCACAGUUUAAAAAUAAAUCUACAGGCCACUAAAGUGUUAAAUAGACUUGCACAAAGUCAUUCAUAUGACGAAAACAAAAACAUUUUUCAGUAUUUAUUUUUGUAGUUGUUCUCAAUAAAAAAAUCAGUAGUAUUUCAUGCAAGAUAACAGGAGAAAUUAAGUACAUUUCGGCAGCAUAGAAGCUAUGGCUGAUGUUCAGUAGGUGUCUCUGUAGCUUUACUUUUCUCUCAGAUAGAAGGCCAAGAGUUUGGAAUGCUUGUUUUUUGUCACUAGAGAACAAACAAAGGAGUGAGUCAGCAAAGGAAAAUAUGACAGAAUGAAACCAAACAGUACACGUUUAUUGCUGCCAUUUAGCAUAUGACUUUCUGUAAGGAUUCAGGAAGGUGUUUUUCCUGAGGGGAACUUCCUUCAACAUUUGGGAUUGCCUGAAAUUGCAACACAUGUUAGUAUCUGUCGGGUAUUAAAGAGCUUUUACAUUCACAACUCCACAACAGUUGAACAUUUCACAGGAUAAGAGAAGAACUCUCAGUUACAGCUUGUCUGAUAGACUGCCCAGUGCAGAGCUAAGCCAUGAAAGCCAGCAGCAUCAAGAAGUCAGAAAAGCAGAAUAUUGUGAAAAAAGAUCAAAAGACGCUGAAAGAGAUUGCACAACAGCUUCGACAAAUUGGAGAUCUUUUGAAUAAAAGCAAGUGGCCCUGCUUUAUAUUUCGGUUUUGCAAACACUAAUAAGCAGCUUUCAGAUCCUCAGAGUGUGCUGCACACAAUAUCACAUGGGCACUUUAACAAUACUCAAGUGGAGGGCACUCACUGAAGUCAUCAUUAAGACACAAUGCAAAUCAGAAUAACCUGUAAGCACUUUUAUGUGCCAUUGCAUUCACUUUACUUCCAUGGAUAUGACUGGAAUCAUUUGUGGGAUAUCUGCUUUGGAGCUAUGCACAAUUCAAAGCAAGUGUUCUGGCUUUGGGCAAAAAUGAGCAAUUCCUUUGUGUUUUCUUAUCAGUUAGAGAAACUUAUACAGAGACAUUCAUCAAAAUGCUUACCACGACAUGAUGACAUGGUGCUUUGGUUUUAUCAAGUCACCUCUGAUAUCUGAUGCAAAUUUCAUUUGACUUCUUUUGAAAUUUAGAACUGAACAAGAAUUGCACAACACAUGCAUAUGCUGGCUUAUGCCUGUAAUGAUUUGUAUGUCAGAAUGACCAGUGACGGAGUUAUCCAUUUAAUUUUUGUCAGGAGUCUUCUGCUUUGUUGUUUAUAUUUCUUUUUUCUUUGUAUUUAUUUAUGUUGAAAACUUAUUUUUAUUUAUUCUAAGUAUUAUUGUUCAAAUAUUACUUAUUGCAUCUAAAUGCUCUUAUAAAAUGAUGCAUUAUGUUUUAAAGUG